Molecule: long non-coding RNA, 487 nt
Organism: Colias croceus (clouded yellow)
Lineage: Eukaryota; Metazoa; Arthropoda; Insecta; Lepidoptera; Pieridae
Exons: 2
Source: RefSeq, a predicted model, not a curated record
GAAUAGAUAAUGGAUCUGAAGAUCAAGGACGGUUAUCACAAGUGAAUGAGGCGUGGUCAAGCAUGAUCUAUAUAAAGUAAAGCAAUCGUUUCAUAACCAUCACUUGAGAUAUCUCAUCUGAACGAUAGUACAAAAUGUUCUUCAGAAUCCUCGCUUUCUUCGCUCUCGUGGCGGUGGCAUUCGCCAACCCCAAGCCUGACCCCCAGGUCGUGGCUUACACCGCGCCUGCUGUGGUCCCUGCUGCGUACUACACAUACACACCUGGCUUCGUCCCCACAGCCUACGCCGCCCCUGUACCCUACGCAUACAACUACUUCAUCAAAUAAUUCCACAUCAAGCAUCUUAUAUCCCCACGACAGCCGCUUCACUACCCAUUUUAGCACACUUAUAGCUUUAUUUUUUUAAUGUUUCGUUUCCACCAAAUCGACCCGAGCGCGAUAAUUGACUUCGUUGUGCCAAAAGUAUUAAUAAAUUUAUAGAGUAAUUA